UCCGAGUUGUCCCCGGCAGUCUCUUUAGAGUCCCCACCAUUACGUGCUGGCAACUAAAGACAGGGGUUGCGCUCGUUGCGGCACUUAAGCCAACACCUCACGGCACGAGCUGACGACAGCCAUGCACCACCUGUGCAGGCUCCGUGGAGCGCCGGCUUUCACCGGCUUCACCCUGCAUGUCAAGCCCAGGUAAGGUUCUUCGCGUCGCAUCGAAUUAAUCCACAUAAUCCACCGCUUGUGCGGGUCCCCGUCAAUUCCUUUGUGUUUUAACCUUGCGGCCGUACUCCCCAGGCGGUCAACUUCACGCGUUAGCUUCGUUACCAAGGAAUUGCUUCCCCGACAACCAGUUGACAUAGUUUAGGGCGUGGACUAC
RNAcentral lists this unclassified non-coding RNA (373 nucleotides) under uncultured bacterium. RNAcentral's name for it is "contains 16S-23S intergenic spacer region". The record is from RNAcentral.